Molecule: long non-coding RNA, 848 nt
Filed under: Sus scrofa (pig)
Lineage: Eukaryota; Metazoa; Chordata; Mammalia; Artiodactyla; Suidae
Description: lncRNA (ENSSSCG00040019354.1, ENSSSCG00050043260.1)
Source: RNAcentral
AGUUUGAUGGCAUCUAAAGAAAUCUGUUGCCAUGCAGUAGUGAGACUCUCCAUGGCAACUUGAAGUCGGGGCCCCUCAGGACUCUGGGGGGGCCACAGUGAGCUCUUCUUCGAACUGCAUCCACCCUCCCUGGGAUGAGCUGCCUCAUGAGGAUCUUUGUCACCAGCGCUUGGGGAGCACCUCCAAAGAGACCCCCUUCUCUGCCCGUGUGCCCCCAUCCAGGACAGCUCCCGUGCCCUUCUGUCUUUGUCUUAAACCCAACCCAGCCAUCCUCAGAAGCUUCCUCCGAGCUGCCCCUUAUGUUGCCUUUCUCAAUCGUUUUGACAAGAAACACCAGCAGGAACAGUCAAGACUUGGAAGAAAUCUGAUUGGGUCAGAAAGAAGGGGGACCUUGGAUAAUGACAGUAAUUGUCACAACUUCCAAUCUUCCUCAAGCUUUAGAGUUCAGGACUCUGGAUCCCCUCACCAAGGCCACGGCACCAGAGAGGAUGAAAAGGGCCGAUGUUGCAUCUCAGCUGCCCUCUUAGCUGACUAGCCGCACGGAAAAAAAGCUCCUGGAUUUUGACUGGCUCUUCCACCUGCUCACCUGCUCCAGCCCUGAGGCAAGAAUGGCUGUGCUACCCAUGUCACCACACCUGAAGCACCCAGCUGCCCUUCCAGGACCAGCCUCAAAUCCAGACAAGUGACAGACUCACGGGGGGCAGGCGCCAGUGUGAGUGGAAAUCACUGGAUCGAUGAUCAAGGGGAUUGUUGCCCAGCUUUCAGUGGCGCGUUGGAGUCUUUUGAGGAAUUCAUCUUGAAACCCGGGAUUUAUUGAGAGCUAAAAGGUUUUUGAAGUUUCCAGUGUU